Molecule: transfer RNA, 71 nt
Filed under: Loxodonta africana (African savanna elephant)
Lineage: Eukaryota; Metazoa; Chordata; Mammalia; Proboscidea; Elephantidae
Rfam family: tRNA
About the family: Transfer RNA (tRNA) molecules are approximately 80 nucleotides in length. Their secondary structure includes four short double-helical elements and three loops (D, anti-codon, and T loops).
Source: Rfam by way of RNAcentral
GCAAUGGUAGUUCAGUGAUAGAAUUCUCACUUUCCAUGUGGGAGACCUGGGUUUGAUUCCAGACCAAUGCA